CCUACGGGGGACUGCAGUGAGGGAUAUUGGUCAAUGGACGAGAGUCUGAACCAGCCAAGUAGCGUGAAGGAUGAAUGCCCUAUGGGGUGUAAACUUCGUUUAUAGGGGAAUAAAAUGUGGCACGUGUGGGAGUUGGUAUGUACCAUAUGAAUAAGGAUGGGCUAACUCCGUGCCAGCCGCCGCGGUAAUACGGAGGAUCCGAGCGUUAUCCGGAUUUAGUGGGUUUACAGGGCGCGUAGGGGGCUUUUGAAGUCAGUUGUGACAGUUUGCGGCUCAACCGUACAAUUGCAGUUGAAACUGGCAGUCUUGAGUACAGUAGCGGUGGGCGGCAUUCGUGGUGUAGCGGUGAAAUGCUUAGAUAUCA
Molecule: ribosomal RNA, 364 nt
Filed under: uncultured bacterium
Lineage: Bacteria
Description: partial 16S ribosomal RNA
Rfam family: Bacterial small subunit ribosomal RNA
Source: RNAcentral